RNAcentral lists this ribosomal RNA (2902 nucleotides) under Escherichia coli. RNAcentral's name for it is "bacterial LSU rRNA". It matches the Rfam family "Bacterial large subunit ribosomal RNA". The record is from RNAcentral. Lineage: Bacteria; Pseudomonadati; Pseudomonadota; Gammaproteobacteria; Enterobacterales; Enterobacteriaceae.
UUAAGCGACUAAGCGUACACGGUGGAUGCCCUGGCAGUCAGAGGCGAUGAAGGACGUGCUAAUCUGCGAUAAGCGUCGGUAAGGUGAUAUGAACCGUUAUAACCGGCGAUUUCCGAAUGGGGAAACCCAGUGUGAUUCGUCACACUAUCAUUAACUGAAUCCAUAGGUUAAUGAGGCGAACCGGGGGAACUGAAACAUCUAAGUACCCCGAGGAAAAGAAAUCAACCGAGAUUCCCCCAGUAGCGGCGAGCGAACGGGGAGGAGCCCAGAGCCUGAAUCAGUGUGUGUGUUAGUGGAAGCGUCUGGAAAGGCGCGCGAUACAGGGUGACAGCCCCGUACACAAAAAUGCACAUGCUGUGAGCUCGAUGAGUAGGGCGGGACACGUGGUAUCCUGUCUGAAUAUGGGGGGACCAUCCUCCAAGGCUAAAUACUCCUGACUGACCGAUAGUGAACCAGUACCGUGAGGGAAAGGCGAAAAGAACCCCGGCGAGGGGAGUGAAAAAGAACCUGAAACCGUGUACGUACAAGCAGUGGGAGCACGCUUCGGCGUGUGACUGCGUACCUUUUGUAUAAUGGGUCAGCGACUUAUAUUCUGUAGCAAGGUUAACCGAAUAGGGGAGCCGAAGGGAAACCGAGUCUUAACUGGGCGUUAAGUUGCAGGGUAUAGACCCGAAACCCGGUGAUCUAGCCAUGGGCAGGUUGAAGGUUGGGUAACACUAACUGGAGGACCGAACCGACUAAUGUUGAAAAAUUAGCGGAUGACUUGUGGCUGGGGGUGAAAGGCCAAUCAAACCGGGAGAUAGCUGGUUCUCCCCGAAAGCUAUUUAGGUAGCGCCUCGUGAAUUCAUCUCCGGGGGUAGAGCACUGUUUCGGCAAGGGGGUCAUCCCGACUUACCAACCCGAUGCAAACUGCGAAUACCGGAGAAUGUUAUCACGGGAGACACACGGCGGGUGCUAACGUCCGUCGUGAAGAGGGAAACAACCCAGACCGCCAGCUAAGGUCCCAAAGUCAUGGUUAAGUGGGAAACGAUGUGGGAAGGCCCAGACAGCCAGGAUGUUGGCUUAGAAGCAGCCAUCAUUUAAAGAAAGCGUAAUAGCUCACUGGUCGAGUCGGCCUGCGCGGAAGAUGUAACGGGGCUAAACCAUGCACCGAAGCUGCGGCAGCGACACUAUGUGUUGUUGGGUAGGGGAGCGUUCUGUAAGCCUGCGAAGGUGUACUGUGAGGUAUGCUGGAGGUAUCAGAAGUGCGAAUGCUGACAUAAGUAACGAUAAAGCGGGUGAAAAGCCCGCUCGCCGGAAGACCAAGGGUUCCUGUCCAACGUUAAUCGGGGCAGGGUGAGUCGACCCCUAAGGCGAGGCCGAAAGGCGUAGUCGAUGGGAAACAGGUUAAUAUUCCUGUACUUGGUGUUACUGCGAAGGGGGGACGGAGAAGGCUAUGUUGGCCGGGCGACGGUUGUCCCGGUUUAAGCGUGUAGGCUGGUUUUCCAGGCAAAUCCGGAAAAUCAAGGCUGAGGCGUGAUGACGAGGCACUACGGUGCUGAAGCAACAAAUGCCCUGCUUCCAGGAAAAGCCUCUAAGCAUCAGGUAACAUCAAAUCGUACCCCAAACCGACACAGGUGGUCAGGUAGAGAAUACCAAGGCGCUUGAGAGAACUCGGGUGAAGGAACUAGGCAAAAUGGUGCCGUAACUUCGGGAGAAGGCACGCUGAUAUGUAGGUGAAGCGACUUGCUCGUGGAGCUGAAAUCAGUCGAAGAUACCAGCUGGCUGCAACUGUUUAUUAAAAACACAGCACUGUGCAAACACGAAAGUGGACGUAUACGGUGUGACGCCUGCCCGGUGCCGGAAGGUUAAUUGAUGGGGUUAGCGGUAACGCGAAGCUCUUGAUCGAAGCCCCGGUAAACGGCGGCCGUAACUAUAACGGUCCUAAGGUAGCGAAAUUCCUUGUCGGGUAAGUUCCGACCUGCACGAAUGGCGUAAUGAUGGCCAGGCUGUCUCCACCCGAGACUCAGUGAAAUUGAACUCGCUGUGAAGAUGCAGUGUACCCGCGGCAAGACGGAAAGACCCCGUGAACCUUUACUAUAGCUUGACACUGAACAUUGAGCCUUGAUGUGUAGGAUAGGUGGGAGGCUUUGAAGUGUGGACGCCAGUCUGCAUGGAGCCGACCUUGAAAUACCACCCUUUAAUGUUUGAUGUUCUAACGUUGGCCCGUAAUCCGGGUUGCGGACAGUGUCUGGUGGGUAGUUUGACUGGGGCGGUCUCCUCCUAAAGAGUAACGGAGGAGCACGAAGGUUGGCUAAUCCUGGUCGGACAUCAGGAGGUUAGUGCAAUGGCAUAAGCCAGCUUGACUGCGAGCGUGACGGCGCGAGCAGGUGCGAAAGCAGGUCAUAGUGAUCCGGUGGUUCUGAAUGGAAGGGCCAUCGCUCAACGGAUAAAAGGUACUCCGGGGAUAACAGGCUGAUACCGCCCAAGAGUUCAUAUCGACGGCGGUGUUUGGCACCUCGAUGUCGGCUCAUCACAUCCUGGGGCUGAAGUAGGUCCCAAGGGUAUGGCUGUUCGCCAUUUAAAGUGGUACGCGAGCUGGGUUUAGAACGUCGUGAGACAGUUCGGUCCCUAUCUGCCGUGGGCGCUGGAGAACUGAGGGGGGCUGCUCCUAGUACGAGAGGACCGGAGUGGACGCAUCACUGGUGUUCGGGUUGUCAUGCCAAUGGCACUGCCCGGUAGCUAAAUGCGGAAGAGAUAAGUGCUGAAAGCAUCUAAGCACGAAACUUGCCCCGAGAUGAGUUCUCCCUGACUCCUUGAGAGUCCUGAAGGAACGUUGAAGACGACGACGUUGAUAGGCCGGGUGUGUAAGCGCAGCGAUGCGUUGAGCUAACCGGUACUAAUGAACCGUGAGGCUUAACCU